RNAcentral lists this unclassified non-coding RNA (237 nucleotides) under Hevea brasiliensis (rubber tree). Lineage: Eukaryota; Viridiplantae; Streptophyta; Magnoliopsida; Malpighiales; Euphorbiaceae. The record is from RNAcentral.
CAUCUUGAGGUCUCGCGAGUGAGCGUAAAUGGAUUACCGACGAGACCUUCGAUCGUCGCGAUGGCAAUAUGGAAAUUCUGCAGGGCUUCCUGUUCGCGAAGCAGCGCUUGCAAGACCGAACCUUUAACAUCGAGCAAUUCGAGCAAGGUGAACCGGCCCUGCAAAUAGCCGCUCUGAAUCGUCUCGGAAGCACUGCGCGCGUUCGGGAUGAUCGAUGACCGCAGCAGCUUGAUUUCG